Molecule: ribosomal RNA, 414 nt
Filed under: bacterium enrichment culture clone ALO1_GLFRUDD03G6SH4
Lineage: Bacteria
Description: bacterial SSU rRNA
Rfam family: Bacterial small subunit ribosomal RNA
Source: RNAcentral
GAGUUUGAUCCUGGCUCAGAUUGAACGCUGGCGGCAUGCCUUACACAUGCAAGUCGAACGGCAGCACGGGAGCUUGCUCCUGGUGGCGAGUGGCGAACGGGUGAGUAAUGCAUCGGAACGUAUCCUGGAGUGGGGGAUAACGUAGCGAAAGUUACGCUAAUACCGCAUAUUCUGUGAGCAGGAAAGCGGGGGACCUUCGGGCCUCGCGCUCUUGGAGCGGCCGAUGUCGGAUUAGCUAGUUGGUGAGGUAAAGGCUCACCAAGGCGACGAUCCGUAGCAGGUCUGAGAGGAUGAUCUGCCACACUGGAACUGAGACACGGUCCAGACUCCGUACGGGAGGCAGCAGUGGGGAAUUUUGGACAAGUGGGGGCAACCCUGAUCCAGCCAUGCCGCGUGAGUGAAGAAGGCCUUCGG